RNAcentral lists this ribosomal RNA (497 nucleotides) under uncultured bacterium. RNAcentral's name for it is "partial 16S ribosomal RNA". It matches the Rfam family "Bacterial small subunit ribosomal RNA", at positions 28 to 507 of the family's 1533-position model. The record is from RNAcentral.
GACGAACGCUGGCGGCGUGCCUAAUACAUGCAAGUUGAGCGCUGAAGGUUGGUACUUGUACCAACUGGAUGAGCAGCGAACGGGUGAGUAACGCGUGGGGAAUCUGUCUUUGAGCGGGGGACAACAUUUGGAAACGAAUGCUAAUACCGCAUAAAAACUUUAAACACAAGUUUUAAGUUUGAAAGAUGCAAUUGCAUCACUCAAAGAUGAUCCCGCGUUGUAUUAGCUAGUUGGUGAGGUAAAGGCUCACCAAGGCGAUGAUACAUAGCCGACCUGAGAGGGUGAUCGGCCACAUUGGGACUGGGACACGGCCCAAACUCCUACGGGAGGCAGCAGUAGGGAAUCUUCGGCAAUGGACGAAAGUCUGACCGAGCAACGCCGCGUGAGUGAAGAAGGUUUUCGGAUCGUAAAACUCUGUUGGUAGAGAAGAACGUUGGUGAGAGUGGAAAGCUCAUCAAGUGACGGUAACUACCCAGAAAGGGACGGCUAACUACGUG